RNAcentral lists this unclassified non-coding RNA (493 nucleotides) under Hevea brasiliensis (rubber tree). Lineage: Eukaryota; Viridiplantae; Streptophyta; Magnoliopsida; Malpighiales; Euphorbiaceae. The record is from RNAcentral.
CUUGUGAUACCCAAGAUCUCUAGUGUAAGAUCUUCUAUCCUAUCUGUCAUCUCUUUACAAAUUCUACUUGAAGAUUAGGUAAUUCAGGGCAUUUGCAAGGUUAUUAUUGCUGUGAGCUUGAUAUGUCAACCUGUCUUGCUGGUUUUCCUCAUACUUGGUCCCUUGUUCUUGUAUCUGCCUGUCGACAUGAUAUCUUCCUGUUUGCUUUUUUAUCUCAAUUUAAAAGCUCUCUGCAUUUACUUUUGUUUAAUCAAAAUUUUAUCAAUUUUGUUGCAAAUUAUUUGCACUUGCUGACUGUGGGAGUUCCUAUAUGGCGUGAUUAUUUGGUUGCCCAUGCUUGUGUCUUUUUGAGGGCAAUGCCAUGUUAUUUUCUUCUUCUUCUAAUUAUUUGGAAUGACCAUGCUAUUUUAUUUUACUUUGCAUAAUAAUUCACUUACAGUCUUUUUUAUUGCUAUUCUUCUUAAUUGCAGAGAUCUCCUGUUGUGGGUAUAUU